Molecule: ribosomal RNA, 468 nt
Filed under: uncultured bacterium
Lineage: Bacteria
Description: partial 16S ribosomal RNA
Rfam family: Bacterial small subunit ribosomal RNA
Source: RNAcentral
GACGAACGCUGGCGGCGUGCCUAACACAUGCAAGUCGAACGGACAGGCCCUGCUCUUGUGGGGUGCUCGAGUGGCGAACGGGUGAGUAUAACGUGUGUAACCUGCACUUGUCUUUGGGAUAACUUCAGGAAACAGGGGCUAAUAUCGGAUAGGAGCUCCUGCUGCAUGGUGGGGGUUGGAAAGUUUCGGCGGUUGGGGAUGGACUCGCGGCUUAUCAGCUUGUUGGUGGGGUAGUGGCUUACCAAGGUUUUGACGGAUAGCCGGCCUGAGAGGGUGACCGGCGACAAUAGGACUACGGGACGGACCAGUCGCCUACGGGAGGCAACAGUGGGAAAUAUUACACAAUGGGCGGAAGCCUGAUACGGCGACGCCGCGUGCGGGAUGACGGCCUUCGGGUUGUAAACCGCUUUCGCCGGUGACGAAGCGGGAGUGACGGUAAUUAGUAAAGAAGCACCGGCUAACUACGUG